AACCUUCCCAAUGCACGAAAGUGUGAGGACGGGAACCCUGAGUGGCUUCGGUUUUCCGAAGUCUUUUCUCAAGUGUAAAUAGCUUGUGGAAUAAGCGGUGGGCAAGACGGUUGCCAGCCGCCGCGGUAAUAACCGCGCCGCAAGUGGUAGUCACGUUUAUUGGGCCUAAAGCAUCCGUAGCCGGUUUAGCAAGUCCCCUGUGAAAUCCUGCCGCUUAACGGUAGGGCUUGCGGAGGAUACUACUAGACUAGGAG
Molecule: ribosomal RNA, 254 nt
Filed under: uncultured archaeon
Lineage: Archaea
Description: partial 16S ribosomal RNA
Rfam family: Archaeal small subunit ribosomal RNA
Source: RNAcentral